Molecule: long non-coding RNA, 614 nt
Organism: Tupaia belangeri chinensis (Chinese tree shrew)
Lineage: Eukaryota; Metazoa; Chordata; Mammalia; Scandentia; Tupaiidae
Exons: 4
Source: RefSeq, a predicted model, not a curated record
CCCGCGCCCGUCUGCAGAAGAUCCAGGCGAUGGGAGGCUCAGGCCCCAGUAAUUGGCAGCCAUCCCAGUCCAGGAUACUAAUUCUCAACCCUGGCAGAUAAAUAAGCAGAAGAUAUCUAGAGAGAUAGCAGAUGACAGAUGGAUGGAUGGACAGACAGACACGCAUGCGCUCAGGGCAGAAGACAAGAGCAAGUGCCCCCAGGAGGAGCAGAGAAAUCGUCAUCAUGUGACCAAGGAGGAGUCCGGGGUGGGCGACACUGACACCUCCUGGUGUGGGACUGAGUGAGUCGGGCCUGACCAUGGAGAAUCAGGGCCAGGGCUGGUUUACCCAGCUCCAAUCAUGUCAGAUCCGAGCAAACCUGUAACAACAGCUGCAUCGAAGACCCUGGCUUCCUGGCAGUCCUCCACUCAGAGCGCCACCAGCGGCCGGCCCUGGAUCUUACCAGCCUAUCACCAGGGGAGCAGAUGGGGCCCAGACCUUCCCCACUGCCACCCCAGGGGCUCUCCCAGGCUCCCAACACCCCAUUUUAUUACCUGCCAGGAUGGGAGGUCAGAAGUCUGAAAGGUGCUGGCCUUGACAGAAAUCAAGGCCCUGGCAGGGCUGCCUCCCUCUG